AGUGGGGAAUUUUUCGCAAUGGGCGCAAGCCUGACGAAGCAACGCCGCGUGGAGGAUGAAGGUCUUCGGAUUGUAAACUCCUGUCGACCGGGACGAAUGCACUCGACCUAAUACGUCGGAAUGUUGACGGUACCGGUGGAGGAAGCCACGGCUAACUCUGUGCCAGCAGCCGCGGUAAUACAGAGGUGGCAAGCGUUGUUCGGAAUUACUGGGCGUAAAGGGCGCGUAGGCGGCCUUGUAAGUCUUGUGUGAAAGCCCUCGGCUUAACUGAGGAUCUGCACGGGAUACUGCGAGGCUUGAGUUCGGGAGAGGAAAGCGGAAUUCCGGGUGUAGCGGUGAAAUGCGUAGAUAUCCGGAGGAACACCAGUGGCGAAGGCGGCUUUCUGGACCGACACUGACGCUGAGGCGCGAAAGCUAGGGGAGCAAACGGGAUUAGAUACCCCGGUAGUCCUAGCUGUAAACGAUGAUCGCUGGGUGUGGGGGGUUUUUACUCCCUCCGUGCCGAAGCUAACGCAUUAAGCGAUCCGCCUGGGGAGUACGGUCGCAAGGCUGAAACU
This 557-nucleotide ribosomal RNA is filed under the name uncultured bacterium. RNAcentral's name for it is "bacterial SSU rRNA". It matches the Rfam family "Bacterial small subunit ribosomal RNA", at positions 353 to 901 of the family's 1533-position model. The record is from RNAcentral.